This 480-nucleotide ribosomal RNA is filed under the name uncultured bacterium. Its description in RNAcentral is "bacterial SSU rRNA". It matches the Rfam family "Bacterial small subunit ribosomal RNA", at positions 1 to 343 of the family's 1533-position model. The record is from RNAcentral.
AGGGGGUACGACGGGCAGUGAUUAGAGUUUGAUCAUGGCUCAGGAUGAACGCUGGCGGCAUGCCUAAGACAUGCAAGUCGAACGAGGUGGCCCAAAGAAGAUUGAGUGCUUGCACAAGAUUGGACUUGGAUUACCACCUAGUGGCGGACGGGUGAGUAACACGUAGGUGACCUGCCUUUGAGUUUGGGAUAACUAUUAGAAAUGAUAGCUAAUACCGAAUUAAAUGCAGAUUCGUUUCUGUAUUAAAAGGAGCCUUUAAAGCUUCGCUUAAAGAUGGGCCUGCGGCGUAUUAGCUAGUUGGUGAGGUAGUGGCUUACCAAGGCGACGAUGCGUAGAAUCUAUCGUACUAUCGUCUGAGUCACCGUAGACUACAGAUAGCAAAGCAAGUUGUAAGCGGGCCUACAGUACUUGAAGUGUAGCCUAUACGGCUAACUAGAAAGCACUUUUAUCUGGCCUCUCUGUAAACAAGUUACCCUUUCG